Molecule: non-coding RNA, 461 nt
Organism: Apodemus sylvaticus (European woodmouse)
Lineage: Eukaryota; Metazoa; Chordata; Mammalia; Rodentia; Muridae
Source: the annotation of a RefSeq genome assembly
GCAGAACUUUAGACUGUCACUGAACUACAUCAGACAGGCAGAGGGAGAAAGAUGGAAUCACAGACCUAUGUCUUCAUGUUCCUGCUACUCUGGUUAUCUGGUACCUCUGGGGACAUUGUGAUGACUCAGUCUCCAUCCUCACUGGCUGUAUCAGCAGGAGAGAUGGUCACUAUGAGCUGCAAGUCCAGUCAGAGUCUUUUGUGGAGUGGAAGACACUACUUGGCCUGGUACCAGCAGAACCCAGGGCAGCCUCCUAAACUGCUGAUAUACUAUGCAUCCACUAGAGCAUCUGGGGUCCCUGAUCGCUUCACAGGCAGUGCAUCUGGGACAGAUUUCACUCUUACCAUCAGCCAUGUGCAAGCUAAUGACCUGGCAAUUUAUUACUGUCAGCACCAUUAUGAUAGCCUUCCCCCCCCACAGUGCUUCAGUCUCCUACACAAACCUCCUUGAGAAUUUCAACA